Molecule: long non-coding RNA, 290 nt
Organism: Camelus dromedarius (Arabian camel)
Lineage: Eukaryota; Metazoa; Chordata; Mammalia; Artiodactyla; Camelidae
Exons: 3
Source: RefSeq, a predicted model, not a curated record
ACCAUCGCCCCCUGGCGGCCUCUCUCUGAGCGCGCUCCCGUGGGGCCGUGGGAAACAGCGUUCGUUCGUGCGAAAUGGAGUUCGCUUCGUUUCACUUCCCACCAAGAACCAAACCUGCCACAUAGUAGGCCUCAGUAUCUGUUGACCUGAAGAGGCACCAGACUGUGGUGGUGACAGCAGAGACUCUGAAGCCAGGACCUGGAUUUGAACACAGCUGUGCAAUAUACUAACUACGUGACCUUGGACAGGUGUUUCUCCAACAGAAAAGUGAACACAAGUGCAUCAAAUGG